AUUGAACGCUGGCGGCAGGCCUAACACAUGCAAGUCGAGCGGUAGCACAGAGAGCUUGCUCUCGGGUGACGAGCGGCGGACGGGUGAGUAAUGUCUGGGAUACUGCCUGAUGGAGGGGGAUAACUACUGGAAACGGUAGCUAAUACCGCAUAACGUCGCAAGACCAAAGUGGGGGACCUUCGGGCCUCAUGCCAUCAGAUGUGCCCAGAUGGGAUUAGCUGGUAGGUGGGGUAACGGCUCACCUAGGCGACGAUCCCUAGCUGAUCUGAGAGGAUGACAAGCCACGCUGGAACUUCGACACGGUCCAGACUGCUACGGGGGGCAGCAGUGGGGACUAUUGCACAACGGGCGCAAGCAUGAUGCAGCCAUGCCGCGUGUGUGAAGAAGGCCUUCGGGUUGUAAAGCACUUUCAGCGGGGAGGAAGGCAUUAAGGUUAAUAACCUUAGUGAUUGACGUUACCCGCAGAAGAAGCACCGGCUAACUCCGUGCCAGCAGCCGCCGUAA
Molecule: ribosomal RNA, 504 nt
Filed under: uncultured bacterium
Lineage: Bacteria
Description: partial 16S ribosomal RNA
Rfam family: Bacterial small subunit ribosomal RNA
Source: RNAcentral